GAUGAACGCUGGCGGCGUGCUUAAUACAUGCAAGUCGAACGGAGACGUUGUAGCAAUAUGAUGUCUUAGUGGCGAACGGGUGAGUAACGCGUUGGUGACCUGCCCCAAAGCGGGGGAUAACAGUCCGAAAGGAUUGCUAAUACCACAUGUGGUCCUCAGGUUUAGAAACUGAUGACUAAAGGAGCAAUUCGCUUUGGGAGGGACCUGCGUCCCAUCAGCUAGUUGGUGAGGUAACGGCUCACCAAGGCGACGACGGGUAGGGGACCUGAGAGGGUGGCCCCCCACAAUGGAACUGAAACACGGUCCAUACACCUACGGGUGGCAG
RNAcentral lists this ribosomal RNA (325 nucleotides) under uncultured Chloroflexota bacterium. RNAcentral describes it as "bacterial SSU rRNA". It matches the Rfam family "Bacterial small subunit ribosomal RNA", at positions 28 to 351 of the family's 1533-position model. Lineage: Bacteria; Bacillati; Chloroflexota. The record is from RNAcentral.